AGUGAACGCUGGCGGCAGGCCUAAUACAUGCAAGUCGAACGGCAGCACAGCAGAGCUUGCUCUGUGGGUGGCGAGUGGCGGACGGGUGAGGAAUACGUGGGAAUCUGCCCAGUCGUGGGGGAUAACGUAGGGAAACUUACGCUAAUACCGCAUGCGCCCUUCGGGGGAAAGCCGGGGACCUUCGGGCCUGGCGCGAUUGGAUGAGCCCAGUCGGAUUAGCUAGUUGGCGGGGUAAAGGCCCACCAAGGCGACGAUCCGUAGCUGGUCUGAGAGGAUGAUCAGCCACACUGGAACUGAGACACGGUCCAGACUCCUACGGGAGGCAGCAGUAGGGAAUAUUGGACAAUGGGCGCAAGCCUGAUCCAGCCAUGCCGCGUGAGUGAAGAAGGCCCUCGGGUUGUAAAG
This 405-nucleotide ribosomal RNA is filed under the name uncultured bacterium. Its description in RNAcentral is "bacterial SSU rRNA". It matches the Rfam family "Bacterial small subunit ribosomal RNA", at positions 30 to 430 of the family's 1533-position model. The record is from RNAcentral.